RNAcentral lists this transfer RNA (73 nucleotides) under Mariprofundus aestuarium. RNAcentral's name for it is "tRNA-Ala". It matches the Rfam family "tRNA". Rfam says of the family: Transfer RNA (tRNA) molecules are approximately 80 nucleotides in length. Their secondary structure includes four short double-helical elements and three loops (D, anti-codon, and T loops). Further hydrogen bonds mediate the characteristic L-shaped molecular structure. tRNAs have two regions of fundamental functional importance: the anti-codon, which is responsible for specific mRNA codon recognition, and the 3' end, to which the tRNAs corresponding amino acid is attached (by aminoacyl-tRNA synthetases). tRNAs cope with the degeneracy of the genetic code in two manners: having more than one tRNA (with a specific anti-codon) for a particular amino acid; and 'wobble' base-pairing, i.e. permitting non-standard base-pairing at the 3rd anti-codon position. The record is from RNAcentral. RNAcentral also lists the same sequence under 1 other name. Lineage: Bacteria; Pseudomonadati; Pseudomonadota; Candidatius Mariprofundia; Mariprofundales; Mariprofundaceae.
GGGGCCAUAGCUCAGCUGGGAGAGCGCCACACUGGCAGUGUGGAGGUCAGCGGUUCGAUCCCGCUUGGCUCCA